RNA transcript from Eucalyptus grandis, 3300 nucleotides. It is a transcript of the gene named rhodanese-like domain-containing protein 11, chloroplastic, with no coding region annotated. The transcript is spliced from 7 exons. The record is from RefSeq and is a predicted model, not a curated record. NCBI's taxonomy places the organism in Eukaryota, Viridiplantae, Streptophyta, Magnoliopsida, Myrtales, Myrtaceae.
UGUCCCCGAAUAACGAUGCGGAUAAGAAAAUGUCAUCGUUCGCUUCUCUCAAGCAAACAAGGACAGAGUCGAAGGAAGCAAAUCUUCGUACCACAGAGCUGAAAAGCGAAGGAGAGCAUUUCAACGUCCCGUUGCAUUACAUACAAUGGAAGCUCUGGGGCUUCCCUCCCUCGGCCCUCUCACAAUUUCGCAGUCCGCCACUUCCCGCAGAGUGCGAACCGCGAGCAGCUCGCGGACGAAGACGCACUCACGGGGCUUUAUGGAGCUCCCUCCUCUCGGAUUGAAUUCUUCUUUGGCAAUUCGCCAUAAAAAGCGGAGUGUUAUCAGAAUGAUAGCUGACACGGAUGACUAUGACUUGAGGCAAAUGAUGGAUAAGGCUGCUGCCCGAAAGAGAUGGGAUUCUCUGAUUAGGGAACAAAAAGUUAAAUGUCUAACCCCAAGGGAAGCUGGAUAUGCAAUACAACUCUUAGAUAAGACCCUAUUAGAUGUUCGCUCUUCUGUGGAAAGCAGCAAGGCAAGUGCUUGUUUGUUCAGUUUUUUCCUACCAAAUUCUGUGUUGAGCCCUGAAAUGAACUCCACCUUAGGAGAAUUUUAUGCAAGCUGGUAAAUGGGCAUUGUUCCUCAGUCAACUCUUGCUAAACGUCAAAUUUGCAUUACGUUUUUUUUGCCAAAUAAAAUGCUUUUACAAUGUCAUCUCGUGGAUUGUACCAUAUUAAAUUGCAUUUUACUAUUUCUGAUGAUUGUCUCCUGCUGUGGGAUUUGGCAUGUCGUUUGCCACCUGACUUGUGGCUGUAUUCUUUACUGUCAACGGAGGUUUUUUAUUUUUAUUUUUAUUUUGUAUGUUGAGGUUGUCUUAUUAAUUGUUCUUCCUUAUCAAAGAUUGAACCAUUCUUGUUAUUUUGUUUCUUUGCUGCUUAAGGCUUGGGUCAAAGGAUCAACUUGGAUUCCCAUAUUUGAUGACAAUAGUGGAUUUGAUCCUGGGACUCUUUCUAGGAAGAUGAUAAACUUUGUGAUGGGUACUUUCUUUUGCUUUACUUGCUUCUUCGAGAGGUGGUUGGUGGAGUGGUGCUCCUACAUUGUCCUAUAACAAGUUCGUUCUGAAAAUACAUGCUGUCGUUCUUUUUCCCUAGUUACAUGCAACAGUAUAUAGAUUAUUUACUCUUCAACAGGCAGUUCUUAUCGAAUAUUGAGGAAAAAUUCCCAAAAGACUUGGAUCUUAUUGUUGCAUGCCAGAAAGGUUUGAGAUCAUUAGCUGCUUGUGAGCUCCUAUACAAUGCUGGGUAUAGAAAUCUUUUCUGGGUUCAAGGUGGCCUAGAGGCUUCUGAAGAAGAGGAUCUCUCCAGAGAGGGCCCCCAGCCUCUUAAAUUUGCUGGAAUUGGUGGUGUUUCAGAAUUUCUGGGACCAAGUACAUGACAUAUUCUUAACUACAGAACAAUAGAUCACAGAUAGCAUGCUUCUGUAACAAGCAAAGGGUGAUUGAUUACUAAGUCGGAAAGAUUUCUAGCCAGCUAGUUUGCUUGUCUCUGCCAUCGUCUAGGAGAAGCGGGGUUUGGCUGCAACCAUAAGGUUGGCAAUUCUGUGCAUUGUGAUUGCAAAAACUUCAGUCAUAUCCAAAUCCUUAGGCUGGAUCCCAUCAGGAAGCUCCCAAUUGAAACUGUGAAGAAGUUGAGCUAAAGCAAGCUCAACACUGGCAUUUCCAAAUGCAAUCACCAGGCAGCUCCUUCUACCUGCACCGAAGGGUAUCAGCUCAAAAUCCUGCCCUUUGAAGUCAAUGUCACUAUUUUCAUUGAGAAAUCUUUCUGGUCAAAACGAUUCUGAAUCAACGCAGGAUUCUGGGUUCCACCCAAUUGACCAAGCAUUGACAAAGAAACGGGUUUUGCUGGGAUGGAGUACCCAUCAAUAGUUAUGUCCUCCAUAGAUUCUCUGGGGCCUAACACUGGAGCAGGAGUGUGCAACCGGAAUAUCUCCUUAAUGACAGCCUUCAAGUAUUGCAGUUGAGGUAGGUCAGUUUCUUGCACGAAUUUUCUCUCUCCAACGACGCUUUGUACUUCAGCUUGUGCUCUUUCCGUGGCUUUUUGAUUGAUGACAAGCUCUGUCAUUCCCCAAUCAAGGGUUAUGAACGUUGUAUCAGUUCCUGCUGCAAACAUAUCCUGCAAAAUCCAUAUGCUACGUAUGAGAGGUUUCUUCUUGCUAGGGGAUCUGCUUGGCUAUACAAGUAUAUUGAUGUUAUAAAAUACUGAACCAGAGGGAAGGAUGAUUCACAAACCAGGAUGAUGGCUUUAACAUUGUCCCUGGUGAGAGGCAUAUCACCAUAACCAGUCUUCAGUACAUCAAGUAAAACAUCCACAAGAUACUUGUGCGACUCCGUAGCUUUGUUUUCUUUUUGAUGAUCUCUCAGUAUCUCGUCGAAAAGGUUAUCAAAGCGCUAAAAUGUGUGCUGAAGUCUGGACUUCAUCCCGGUCAGGCUGUGGAUGAAUUCCAUGGAAGGAAAGAAAUCUCCUAUGCUGAAUCCUCCGAGCAACUCCUGAUACUCCUCCAGCAUCUUUUGAAACCCAUGCCUGUCGUAGUCCCUCCUCCUGAAAAAUCCCUCCCGAAAGCUACCCAACAGAGAACAUCAUUUGCAUAGAAACCAAGCAGUUUAGUUAGAUUUGUGGCGCCUGGAAAAGACUGUAAUACGGUCAACUAACCGAGCAACUUCUUCUACCCUGACAUGACUGUAUGACUGAACCCGUUUUGCACUAAGCAGUUCAAGUAUGCAAUUUCUUCUUAUAUGCCUCCAAUAAGGACCAUAGGGGAGAAGACCACGUCAGUGCAAUCAUAGAACAAGUGUUUGGCGGAGAAGAUCUGAGGACGGCUCGAAAGUGCGAGGUCGUGGGUUGUCAUUACCUCCUUCCCCAUUCUAGCUGAGGAAACAACUACGGUUGGGAUUUCACCAAGCUGUAAGAAGAUGAUUGGGCCGUAUGUUCUCGCAAGGUGGUGGAGGGAUAUGUAUGGCAAUUGCCUAGCUGAUGGAUUUCUGAGGAUCGGUAACUUGGGAGGGCUUGGUGGGAGGUUGUAGUUGCUUUUCCUAGGCGUGUUCUUUAAGAGAACUACAAUUACAGCUGCUACUACCAGGAUUGAGAGAAACAGAUGCUGAAGGAGAGCCAUUUUCAUUUCACGAGAAACUUGCACAGUAUGUGAUGUUGCACUGUGGUCUUAUUUGAUCUGUAUACAGUCUCUUCCUAUACAAGGGACUUGUAAAAACUAUCUCAGUUUGCUGAAAAAUCUUUCGGUUUAGUCAAUAUAAGUCGAGUUAGCAGA